AGUGAACGCUGGCGGUAGGCCUAACACAUGCAAGUCGAACGGCAGCACAGUAAGAGCUUGCUCUUACGGGUGGCGAGUGGCGGACGGGUGAGGAAUACAUCGGAAUCUACUUUUUCGUGGGGGAUAACGUAGGGAAACUUACGCUAAUACCGCAUACGACCUACGGGUGAAAGCAGGGGAUCUUCGGACCUUGCGCGAUUGAAUGAGCCGAUGUCGGAUUAGCUAGUUGGCGGGGUAAAGGCCCACCAAGGCGACGAUCCGUAGCUGGUCUGAGAGGAUGAUCGGCCGCACUGGAACUGAGACACGGUCAAGACUCCUACGAGAGGCAGCAGUGGGGAAUAUUGGACAAUGGGCGCAAGCCUGAUCCAGCCAUACCGCGUGGGUGAAGAAGGCCUUCGGGUUGUAAAGCCCUUUUGUUGGGAAAGAAAAGCAGCAGGUUAAUACCCCGCUGUUCUGACGGUACCCAAAGAAUAAGCACCGGCUAACUUCGUG
This 492-nucleotide ribosomal RNA is filed under the name uncultured bacterium. Its description in RNAcentral is "partial 16S ribosomal RNA". It matches the Rfam family "Bacterial small subunit ribosomal RNA", at positions 29 to 507 of the family's 1533-position model. The record is from RNAcentral.